Long non-coding RNA from Syngnathoides biaculeatus (alligator pipefish), 911 nucleotides. RefSeq lists it as uncharacterized. The transcript has 5 exons. NCBI's taxonomy places the organism in Eukaryota, Metazoa, Chordata, Actinopteri, Syngnathiformes, Syngnathidae. The record is from RefSeq and is a predicted model, not a curated record.
UUGUACUUUGCUUCCCGUGCAUUCUCAAAUUUAUUCUCUUCUACCAGAAGCUAUUUUUGUCUGCUAUUUUUCUACUAAGUGCGACUGUGUUUCUCUGUCUUUGUUUCACUCCCUUGUGUACUUUUGGAGAUUGUUUGAGUUGCAUUUCGUGUUUUCCUCCCAUGUGUCCCAGUCCACCACUCUUAUUAACAAUUAUCUCUCUCACAGUGGACAUGCACCUACGAUACAAAUUUCAUACCCGCCAUGAUUUCCAAGUGGGAGAACUUGCAACAUAGCAGGGUGUUCAAACUACUUUUCUUCUCUGUAAGGAUGCACAAACUCAAAUCUGUCUAUGUCAGAAAGACAGGAUAAAAGCUGGACUUAUUCAAGAAAAGAUUUUCCAUACUCAUGCUUCCUGACAUGGUCAGUGGACCACUGUCCAGACGACUCUCCUCGCCCACUCUACAGUCUCUGCUGUGGUUCACCACCAGCUGGGGCUUCACCAGUCUUCAUCUUUCCUCUUAUUAGCACAGUCUCCCGCAGCAGUAUGCCUCCUCUGUUUUGUCUUAAACUGCUGGCCCCUGCUGGCGAGCAACCUUCCCUGGCUAAAUUCUCAUCUAUUUCCCAUGAAGUGUUACUGGACCUGCAAUAGAAAGAGGACACUUAGAAGGAGAGCAAAUGUCCAAAGGGGUGCAUGUGAAGCCCGUUGCAUAGGGCACCUGGACUAGGAUAUUUAGGGAAGUGUCCACCAGCAUCAUCGCAACCCUCCCACCACUACUGUGAUAAUGGAACAAGGGGGCGAAAGUGAUGUCCCUUGCAUGUUACAAUUAUUGUGAUUAUUAGUGACAAUUAAUGACACUUUAAGCCUGCUUUUGUAAUUGUUCUCAAUUUAUAUUUAUUAUCAAAGGUGUAAACACUGUGUGAAUAUUGUG